GACGAACGCUGGCGGCGUGCUUAACACAUGCAAGUCGAACGGAAAGGCCCUGCUUUUGUGGGGUGCUCGAGUGGCGAACGGGUGAGUAACACGUGAGUAACCUGCCCUUGACUUUGGGAUAACUUCAGGAAACUGGGGCUAAUACCGGAUAGGAGCUCCUGCUGCAUUGUGGGGGUUGGAAAGUUUCGGCGGUUGGGGAUGGACUCGCGGCUUAUCAGCUUGUUGGUGGGGUAGUGGGUUUCCAAGGCUUUGACGGGUCGCCGGCCUGAGAGGGUGACCGGCCACAUUGGGACUGAGAUACGGCGCAGACUCCUACGGGAGGCAGCAGUGGGGAAUAUUGCACAAUGGGCGGAAGCCUGAUGCAGCAACGCCGCGUGCGGGAUGACGGCCUUCGGGUUGUAAACCGCUUUCGCCUGUGACGAAGCGUGAGUGACGGUAAUGGGUAAAGAAGCACCGGCUAACUACGUG
This 468-nucleotide ribosomal RNA is filed under the name uncultured bacterium. Its description in RNAcentral is "partial 16S ribosomal RNA". It matches the Rfam family "Bacterial small subunit ribosomal RNA", at positions 28 to 507 of the family's 1533-position model. The record is from RNAcentral.